This is a long non-coding RNA of Ipomoea nil (Japanese morning glory), 152 nucleotides long. RefSeq lists it as uncharacterized. Lineage: Eukaryota; Viridiplantae; Streptophyta; Magnoliopsida; Solanales; Convolvulaceae. The record is from RefSeq and is a predicted model, not a curated record. The transcript has 2 exons.
AAUGAAGAUUGGUGAUGUUGUUGGUGAAUUAAAUAAGUCAAGGAAAUCUUUCUUGAUGUAACUUAGCUUAGGAGUUUGUUUUAUUAUCUUGUCUUUUGUAUCUUUAUAAUCUGUAUGUGUUGGUGUUUUAAAUGACAAUACUCUAUUUCCUU